ACGGGUGAGUAACACGUGGGUAAUCUGCCUAGGAGUCCGGAAUAACCUUCCGAAAGGAGGGCUAAUGCUGGAUAAGACCACGGGGACUUCGGUCCCUGAGGUAAAAAGGUGGCCUCUGUAUACAAGCUACCACUUCUAGAGGAGCCCGCGGCCCAUCAGCUAGUUGGCGGGGUAAUGGCCCACCAAGGCUACGACGGGUAGCUGGUCUGAGAGGACGAUCAGCCACACUGGAACUGAGACACGGUCCAGACUCCUACGGGAGGCAGCAGUGGGGAAUUUUGCGCAAUGGGCGAAAGCCUGACGCAGCAACGCCGCGUGAGUGAUGAAGGUCUUCGGAUCGUAAAGCUCUUUCGGCCGGGACGAAAACGGGUUGGCCAAUAUCCAACUCCUUGACGGUACCGGAAGAAGAAGCACCGGCUAACUCUGUGCCAGCAGCCGCGGUAAUACAGAGGGUGCGAGCGUUGUUCGGAAUUAUUGGGCGUAAAGCGCGUGUAGGCGGCGCUGCAUGUCGGGUGUGAAAGCCCUCGGCUUAACCGGGGAAGUGCGCCCGAAACUGCAGUGCUCGAGUGCCGGAGAGGGUAGCGG
This 585-nucleotide ribosomal RNA is filed under the name uncultured bacterium. RNAcentral describes it as "bacterial SSU rRNA". It matches the Rfam family "Bacterial small subunit ribosomal RNA", at positions 102 to 664 of the family's 1533-position model. The record is from RNAcentral.